AGGGUUUGAUCAUGGCUCAGGAUGAACGCUGGCGGCGUGCUUAACACAUGCAAGUCGAACGAAGCGCUUAAACGGAUUUCUUCGGAUUGAAGUUUUUGCGACUGAGUGGCGGACGGGUGAGUAACGCGUGGGUAACCUGCCUCAUACAGGGGGAUAACAGUUAGAAAUGACUGCUAAUACCGCAUAAGCGCACAGUGCUGCAUGGCACAGUGUGAAAAACUCCGGUGGUAUGAGAUGGACCCGCGUCUGAUUAGCUAGUUGGUGGGGUAACGGCCUACCAAGGCGACGAUCAGUAGCCGGCCUGAGAGGGUGAACGGCCACAUUGGGACUGAGACACGGCCCAA
Molecule: ribosomal RNA, 344 nt
Filed under: uncultured bacterium
Lineage: Bacteria
Description: bacterial SSU rRNA
Rfam family: Bacterial small subunit ribosomal RNA
Source: RNAcentral